Molecule: long non-coding RNA, 836 nt
Organism: Rhinopithecus roxellana (golden snub-nosed monkey)
Lineage: Eukaryota; Metazoa; Chordata; Mammalia; Primates; Cercopithecidae
Exons: 2
Source: RefSeq, a predicted model, not a curated record
AGUUGAGACGGCAUUUCACCAUGUUGGCCAGGAUGGUCUCCAUCUCCUGACCUUGUGAACCACCUGCCUCAGCCUCCCAAAGUGCUGGGAUUACAGGCAUGAGCCACCAUGCCCGGCGGUGAGCAGCAUUUUAGAGAAGCCUGGUGAGUGUUGGAGCUGUCCUCUCCCGUGGAAACUGUCUCCAGAGGUUAGGUGCCCCACGGAGCACCAUGUCUUGGGUUCGUCAGUUCUUUUACCAGUGUACCCCCAGGGACACCAUGGCCUCUCACAAAAACCCAGCCAGACGACAGCAAUAGAGCCCAGCAUGGAAUCCACCUGCACAUGGCAUCUUAGCUGCGAAGAAGUAAGCAGUGCACAAGAAGGAAUGAGUGGGCAGAACCAAUGGCCUCCACAAGCUGCCUUCCAGCAGCCUGCCAAGGCCAUGGCAGAGACUACAAACAAACACAAGCAAACAGUCUCUUCACGGCUGGAGUCUGAAAGGUCAUAGUGGCAUGUGUGUAUUUGACAAAAUUAAAAGUGUGCAUAGUCCAUUACAUGCAUAAAACACUAACAGUAAAAAUCCUGUUUACAUGUGACUGCAGCAGGCAGGUAACCAGCUUCACCACUGCCCUCCUGCCACAUCACAUCAAGUGCCAUUGUUAGAGGGUUUUUCAUAUGUAAUUCUUUUAUUCUGUAAAAGGUAACAAAAUAUACAGAACAAAACUUUCCCUUUUUAAAACUAAUGUUACAAAUCUGUAUUAUCACUUGUAUAUAAAUACUAUAUAGCUGAUCAUUAAUAAGGUGUAUAAGUACAACAAUGUAUUCUAACUGUUAAGCAAAAAACCCUAAAAAAAAAA